AUGCAAUACAGUUAUGAUUGAGAAUUGUAAAGAUAAAAGCCUGAUAUAUUAAUUUGAUACAUUUUAACAAGAUUUUUCUAAAACAUUACACAUAGUUAAUCAAGUUAACUGAAAAGUUCAGUAAAUGUUCAUCUUGAAAUAUUACUAAUAACAUUAGUGUUGUUACAUUUACUUUAUAAAAUGAUUUCACCUCAAAAAGACACAUGUACCAUUUGUAAAAUUAUACUUUAAGGCAUUUUAAACACUUUAAACACUUGCUAAAACACAAAAUAUUAACUAAUAAUCAGACAAUAGUCAGCAUGUAGUACUUUGUGUAUAACAGCUUUUUCAGCUGUUGAUCAUGUAGAUAAUUUAGAGGUCAUAGAAAUUUGCAUAUCAAGUGAGAUACAGUACACUUUAUAGGGUCAAUUAUAAAAAAAAUUAUAAAACAUUUUGGGUGAACUACCCCUUUAACAGCAUUUAUUAUUAUUUUAUUUUUUUUACUAUUCUCGUUCUGUUGUGGGUACAGCAGCAGAGCUCAAAGCCCCAUGCCGAAGAGUUUGUUAAAGCGUGAAAUUUAGAGAUGCAUGUGAUGCUAGACCAGUCAUGAGGCAAAACAAACAAAGACGUCACGGAAGACAAACAGAGAUUUGAGUGCAUCAGAUGCCUCGUUCUCUUCUCUUGGCUCUGUCAAAACACCUUUCCCGGGAUCUGUGAAACAGACAGGGUCCAUUAGGAGCUCAAGCAUAUAAUCACAUCUCUGUAAUGAGUUAUUAAUUAAACCAGGGGCAUUCAUUGCCCUGCUAACAGCCUCAUAAACAAUUGACUGGAGAUUUGUGAUUUUUGACUCGCUGACACCAUUAAACAAAUCAAUAUUGGGUUUUGCAGCAAGAGCUCUGUGCCCGGCUCUCCCUGGUUUUUGCCAAUCAGCCAUGCUGAAUACUAAUAAGGGAAUUAGUCGCCUCAUAUUCUGCAUGUGUCCCAUCAAACAGAUCCUUAUCAAGAGGGAGCAGAAGACUCAUUUGCAUGGAGGAAGACUGCUUUGUAGGAUGUGUGUUCGCGGCUCGCGCCGCCCGGCGAGGUUGCCAAACUCAUUUCACCUCGUGGACCUCAACUUGACUGUAAGCCAGACAACCCAACGUGAUAAGGCCGCAUUAAACCUUCACUCUCCUAAGGGAGGGUUAUUAUACGGACAGAGAGAGAUGCUGCUCUGCAUGUGAGAACAACAGGUAAUGCUACAUCAUGCUAGCAUCGUGUUCGCAACAUUAAAGGGGGGAUAAAUGCAUGCCAUUACCAUUUAUAUCUACAGACGGGUAGAGAAAGUAAAGACUAUAAAGGGAAAGAAUGAGGAAAAGGGUUUCUUCUGUCCAUACAGCCUUGACA
Cyprinus carpio carpio is the source of this 1362-nucleotide long non-coding RNA. The record is from Ensembl. NCBI's taxonomy places the organism in Eukaryota, Metazoa, Chordata, Actinopteri, Cypriniformes, Cyprinidae.